UCAAGACGACAUUCAAGUCGUCCUGCAGACUGUCAUGUUUCGUGGGACACCCUGUAUACCAAUACCAUGUCAUGAAUGUAUGGUUUAUAAAACUGCAAAUUGAGAAAUUAUACGUUCAUCAGUAAACUUGAAAAAUUAUCCGAUGGGCAUAACAAUACUUCUCCGAAACAUAAGAGCUUAUACCCAGGUUUCAUUAUGCUGGGUCUGCCAGGAGAUUUAAGUACUGCAUGAAGUUCACAUGUUAAGGAAAUAAGGAAAAUCAAGAAGUUUUAUUUCAAGAAAUCUUUGAGAAAAGAAAAAAUUGGAGUUAAAGAGUACUUCACAAUAAUUAGAAACCCUAUUAAAAUAUUGUUUUUUUAAUAAAUAAAUUGUUAAGCCCA
Eurytemora carolleeae is the source of this 380-nucleotide long non-coding RNA. RefSeq lists it as uncharacterized. Lineage: Eukaryota; Metazoa; Arthropoda; Copepoda; Calanoida; Temoridae. The transcript has 2 exons. The record is from RefSeq and is a predicted model, not a curated record.